RNAcentral lists this ribosomal RNA (460 nucleotides) under uncultured bacterium. RNAcentral's name for it is "partial 16S ribosomal RNA". It matches the Rfam family "Bacterial small subunit ribosomal RNA", at positions 338 to 795 of the family's 1533-position model. The record is from RNAcentral.
CCUACGGGAGGCAGCAGUGAGGAAUAUUGGUCAAUGGCCGUAAGGCUGAACCAGCCAAGUCGCGUGAAGGAUGACUGCCCUAUGGGUUGUAAACUUCUUUUAUAAGGGAAUAAUAUAUGCCACGUGUACCAUGUUGUCUGUACCUUAUGAAUAAGCAUCGGCUAACUCCGUGCCAGCAGCCGCGGUAAUACGGAGGAUCCGAGCGUUAUCCGGAUUUAUUGGGUUUAAAGGGAGCGUAGGUGGGUUGUUAAGUCAGCGGUGAAAGGCCGCGGCUCAACGGGGGAAGUGCAAUUGAUACUGGCUGGCUGGAGUGCAGAUGAGGUAGGCGGAAUUCGUGGUGUAGCGGUGAAAUGCUUAGAUAUCACGAAGAACUCCGAUUGCGAAGGCAGCCUACGAAACCGCCACUGACGCUGAUGCUCGAAAGCGUGGGUAUCAAACAGGAUUAGAUACCCCAGUAGUC